UUAUGUGUUCCGCACUAAGACGCUACACGUAAGGGAGGGAUGCCUCCGUGGAGGACUUUCUAAGGGAAACUGACUCGUAUUACAUUCCUUGGAUCGUACCUUACUACUUGGAUAGCUGUGGCAAUUCAAGAGCUAAUACAUGCAGCAGAGCUCCGACCCCCUGGGAACGAGCGUUUUUAUUAGACCAAAACCAAUCGGACCUUGUGCCCGUAUUAUGUGGUGAUCUGUAUAACUUUGGGCUGAUUGCACGGGCUCGUCCCGGCGACGUAUCUUUCAGGUGUCUGCCUUAUCAACUGUCGAUGGUAGGUUACGCGCCUACCUUGGUCGUAAUGAGUGACCGGGAAUCAGGGUUCGAUUCCGGAGAGGGAGCCUGAGAAACGGCUACCACAACCAAGGAAGGCGGCAAGCCCGCAAAUUACCCACUCCCAAAACGGGGAGGUAUUGAUGAAAAAUAACAAUACGGGACUCUUUUGAGACCCCGUAAUUGGAAUGAGUACACUCUAAAUCCUUUAACGAGGACCAAUUGGAGGGCAAGUCUGGUGCAAACAGCCGCGGUAUAGUUCGACCGUCUCAAAGGCAACCUUGGCUGGCCUUCUGCCAAAACACCUAGACUCGUCCAAAAGGGGCGUUAUUACUUGCUGCGAAGUGAAAGCCUUCUGUCCUCAGGAAAGAGAGAAUGGAGAGAAAAGAAGUCCCCAUCCUUCCCCCCCUAUUUUGAGAAUAAUUCGGUCCGAAUGGCGCAUACGUGUUUACGCUCAUGGGCGUGGAUGAGGCGAUCGAACUAUAAUUCCAGCUCCAAUAGCGUAUA
This 808-nucleotide ribosomal RNA is filed under the name Stegodyphus mimosarum. RNAcentral's name for it is "eukaryotic small subunit ribosomal RNA". It matches the Rfam family "Eukaryotic small subunit ribosomal RNA", at positions 57 to 603 of the family's 1831-position model. Lineage: Eukaryota; Metazoa; Arthropoda; Arachnida; Araneae; Eresidae. The record is from RNAcentral.